GUGACCUCAAAUCAGAUGAGACUACCCGCUGAACUUAAGCAUAUC
This 45-nucleotide ribosomal RNA is filed under the name uncultured Craterellus. Its description in RNAcentral is "partial 28S ribosomal RNA". Lineage: Eukaryota; Fungi; Basidiomycota; Agaricomycetes; Cantharellales; Hydnaceae. The record is from RNAcentral.